AAUUCUCAACCUUUUCAGCUUUUACAAGUUGGAUUGGCUUGGAUGUGGAGGUUUUUGCAGGCUUCUCAGAAGUCAGCUCCUCUUAAAUGCAUUAGCAGAACCUUUGUGGACCAGCUUUGGUGUGAUAAUUAUCUACGCCAUGGUUGUGAAGCAGCUUUUAUAUGGGGUUCAGCUUCUAAUAGUCCAUUGACUUGGACAAUUUCUGACA
RNAcentral lists this unclassified non-coding RNA (208 nucleotides) under Collybia sordida. RNAcentral describes it as "Lepista sordida partial internal transcribed spacer 2". Lineage: Eukaryota; Fungi; Basidiomycota; Agaricomycetes; Agaricales; Clitocybaceae. The record is from RNAcentral.